GAUGAACGCUGGCGGCGUGCCUAAUACAUGCAAGUCGAGCGAACAGACGAGGAGCUUGCUCCUCUGACGUUAGCGGCGGACGGGUGAGUAACACGUGGAUAACCUACCUAUAAGACUGGGAUAACUUCGGGAAACCGGAGCUAAUACCGGAUAAUAUAUUGAACCGCAUGGUUCAAUAGUGAAAGACGGCUUUGCUGUCACUUAUAGCUGGAUCCGCGCCGGAUUAGCUAGUUGGUAAGGUAACGGCUUACCAAGGCAACGAUGCGUAGCCGACCUGAGAGGGUGAUCGGCCACACUGGAACUGAGACACGGUCCAGACUCCUACGGGAGGCAGCAGUAGGGAAUCUUCCGCAAUGGGCGAAAGCUUGACGGAGCAACGCCGCGUGAGUGAUGAAGGUCUUCGGAUCGUAAAACUCUGUUAUUAGGGAGGAACAAAUGUGUAAGUAACUAUGCACGUCUUGACGGUACCUAAUCAGAAAGCCACGGCUAACUACGUG
Molecule: ribosomal RNA, 497 nt
Filed under: uncultured bacterium
Lineage: Bacteria
Description: partial 16S ribosomal RNA
Rfam family: Bacterial small subunit ribosomal RNA
Source: RNAcentral